GUGGUUUACGUCUUUUUUAAAAUACAAAAUUUAUUACAUAGUAAAACUAAGAAUGAUAAUUUGUUGUUUUACAUGGUAUAAAGUUAUCGAUGCAAUAAUUAUAUAUAAUUUAUAAUAAGAUUAAUAAUGUAAAGAAUGAACAUACAUAUACAGAGUCCAUUAACUUCAAGUUUGCGGGUUAGUUUAAACAAUUGGGCCUGUAUCCCUUUAAUGGGCCGAGCCUACUAGGUAGAGGUUCUUCGCGGAAUAACCAAUGGCGAAUACAUACAUACACGCGGUCUCUGCUCUCUAACAGACACCAGCGACUGAGCUAGAGAAAUGAGUGUUCAAAUCUGUAACUUCCCGUUGAAUCCGCGCUUCGCGCUGCGACCCCGCUCCCAAACCGCCGCGAGGUCUACACGAAUCUUCGCUCGUGCGGAGAAUGAAUCGUCACGGUCUGAUCAGCAACAGCUCAAUCUCUCCGUCCUUCGCUUCACUUUCGGGAUUCCUGGGCUAGACGAAUCUUAUCUACCGAGGUGGAUCGGGUACGGGUUCGGAUCGCUUAUUCUUCUCAAUCACUUCUCAGCUUCACCUCCAAUCAGCGAAUCUCAGCUGAGAUCAGAGGCUUUAGGGUUAUCACUUGCUGCAUUCUCCGUAGCUUUACCUUACUUUGGCAAGUUCCUCAAGGGUUCUGAAGUAGAGAAGAGAAGCUUACCUGAAGAGGGAGAACAGGUUUUUGUGAUAUCAUCAAGCAUUGGAGACUCUUUGAAAGAGGAUUUGGCUUGGUCAACUUAUGUCUUGUUGAGGAAUACAAGUACCGUUGCUGUGAUGAUAUCGAUUCAAGGUGAGCUUUGUGUUCGCGGGUACUGGAAUUGCCCUGGUCAAAUGUUAAAGGCUCAACUACAUGACUGGUUCAAGAGAAAGGUUGAUGAAAUAGGCCUGGCUGAUGUUAAGGAGACCCUUUAUUUCCCUCAAUAUGCAGGUUCUGCAUUGUCGUGGGAUAUUCUUCCUGAUGGGACGCGUUCUGUUUUUGUGCAACCUCUCGUUCAAAAUACAGAUGAAUCGGAGAAAAUGGAUGGGUUUUUGCUGGUGGCUUCUACUGCUGGAUAUGCAUAUAGCGAUAAAGAUAGAGCCUGGAUUGGAGCCAUGGCUGAUAAAUUCAGAGGAUGACAUGACCUAUUCAUUAUAAUAUAACAUUUGACUCAUAUCUUGAUUGAUGAUUGGCGAAACACUUCAUUUCCUACAAGAAUUUCUCGAGGCCAUAAACCAGAUUCUGUAAAACCAAAAGAGAACAAGGACAAGUGAUCAGAUAAAUAGUAAGUAAAAACAUCAGUUGAUGGAGAAUUCUCGCAUGUUUCCUUGUUACCUUGAGGCGUACGACCUUUCUGAUAGCGAGAAGUAGUCCAGGCAUUAGGGACCUUACGUCAACUAUGUCGUGUUUAACAGUGUAAACCUGUGUCCAACAGGUUGUGUUAGAGAACAUAAUUUUCAGUUUGGUUUUUAAAUAGAUGACUGUAAUGAUAGUUACAUCUCCUGGACUUGAGAAGUAGACUUGUGUGCUAGAUGGUAGUCCAGGUAGAACCAUACUGUGAACACGAACCCCAUCUUCUCCGAUUACUUGACCUCUUGCCUGGAAACAUCAGGAAACAGAGCUUUGUUUUUGUAUAAAUAUACAUGAUCCAAAGUCCUAACUAGCCCAUCUUUUUUAAUCUUUCUGGCAUUUUUCAGCUUGCUCAUGCCUUUACCUGAACAUCAGUUGAACUAUCUUCUCUGUUGUAGAUCUGACCAAGAUUUGAUAUGUUGUUCGCAAUUUGGGUAGCUUCUGGAGAAGGAAGAUCCUGCAUUUCAUAGUGGAAGGAAGCCAUGAUCACAGCCUGUUGGAGAAGUAUAGAUCCUAUGGAUAGUGUUGGUGCUACAAGGCACCCCUAUAAUGCAAACAAUGGAGAAAUUAGAUAAAUCUGGAACAUUUAUGGUCGCUCCAGGACAAGCUCGACUUCACCAAGAAAAAACAACAAAACGAAUUUGCUGAGAGUAUCUCACCCUGUGCUCACCAUGGUGGCCUUGUCACAUAGUGCAGAUAACGCUGAUACUGUCUCUGGCUUAAUCCGAGGUACAUACACAACACUCUUCAUCCCAAAUGCCGUUGCCUUGAUAAGAUCAAAGAUCAUUAACACUCUUGAUGGUUUGACUUUUCCAACUUGGUAAAUAAAAAAAAAGUUUUUUUAUUAAAUACCUGUUUUACAUUCUCAUACACUGUUGAUGGGUCUGUAAAGUCGAUCACAACUCCCACUUCUUUUCCCUACCAACAAUAUUUUUCGUUUAGGUUGUUCCGUAGAUGUCACUCUGGUGGGAAACAAGAGAGAGAGUUUGGAUAUAAUGGAACCUGAGAUAUCGAGCCUAAGACCAUUGUUAGAUCACUCACUACUGGUAUUUCUAGAGGCUCCUCCAUGUCACAGAGCUAAAAGAACAUUAUAGUUUAGGGUGUCAUGUUAAUAGAUAAACCAACCAGGUGGAAGUAAAAUGUAAGUUAAGUCACCAAGCCAAUAUCUUCGCCAAGAAAAUGGUUGUCGACAGCACCAGCCAACUCCAUUCCCCUGGCUUUAGUCACAGCAACCACAGCCGCUCUUCCUAUCUCCUUUGCAGCUCCGUUUAUGAUUACCUGAUAUGGAAAUUUGUUGCAAUUCAUCACAAGCUGCAUUGUAUGGAAACUCCUGAUGAAGAUGAUGAUGUUACCUUUAUGUUGUUUUGGGAAGGUUGAGAGGCGGAGCAGGAAAAAGAAGGCCUUGAGGGGUUGAGACGUCCUGAAUGUGAUAGCUUGAAGAAGCAGCAGCUCACAGCUGCCAUUGCUCUAACCUCUUAUGAUAACUUUUUCUUUUCUUGUGGUUUCCUUUGCCUUUGAUGUUGAUAAGAGUUUUUGCACUUGUUGCCAGAGCUUUUAAAACGAUGUAGUUUUUGAGGCUUUCUGGAUGGAUAAGAUUUUGCCUCUUCUGAUUGCAAUCACUCUGGCUCUUAAUUUAUUUCUUAACAAAGUGAAUUUUUUUUUUAAGUUGUGAUAAUAAAGAUAAUUUCUUUCGAAAA
RNA transcript from Brassica napus (rape), 3057 nucleotides. It is a transcript of the gene named protein COFACTOR ASSEMBLY OF COMPLEX C SUBUNIT B CCB2, chloroplastic, with no coding region annotated. The transcript is spliced from 8 exons. NCBI's taxonomy places the organism in Eukaryota, Viridiplantae, Streptophyta, Magnoliopsida, Brassicales, Brassicaceae. The record is from RefSeq and is a predicted model, not a curated record.